RNAcentral lists this long non-coding RNA (463 nucleotides) under Capra hircus (goat). RNAcentral's name for it is "lncRNA (ENSCHIG00010013941.1)". Lineage: Eukaryota; Metazoa; Chordata; Mammalia; Artiodactyla; Bovidae. The record is from RNAcentral.
CCCGGUCUCCGGCUUCCAAAACUGGCAGCCUCUGCUGGGGGUGCGGUUCCACUCCUCUCCAACUCGCUUCCCUGUCUCACUGCGCCUUCGGGUUGGGCGAGGGGAUUCCUCGCUGGAGUUUGGAGUGCAAGAGCCCCCGGGGGGCCCCCGAAGGCAGUUUCCUCAGAGGAUCUCCCUCCCCCUGUACAUCUAAGAGCCCCAGAGCCCAGCGUUGAUAAAUCCAUCCAUCAAGCUCUCACAGCUGGGAUUUCGGCCCCUUCUCAGAAGAGUAGCAAGUCCGUCACAAAGCCCUCAGCUCUGAGCCUGCUGCGCUUAAGGGCUGCUGUGGAAGCCGGCUCCGAGGAUGAGGAGUGGACUGGGCGGUGCGCAUUUCCAGGGAGGUUUGAAGUGCGCAUCGCUGCUCCUUCUAAAGGUCUCAGCUCAAGUCCGGUCAAAUCAGGCUGGUUUUCUGUAAAUCGGUGAG